This 299-nucleotide ribosomal RNA is filed under the name uncultured soil bacterium. RNAcentral describes it as "partial 16S ribosomal RNA". It matches the Rfam family "Bacterial small subunit ribosomal RNA", at positions 26 to 351 of the family's 1533-position model. The record is from RNAcentral.
AGAACGAACGCUGGCGGCAUGCCUAAUACAUGCAAGUCGAACGAACACUUCGGUGUUAGUGGCGCACGGGUGCGUAACGCGUGGGAAUCUGCCCUUGGGUUCGGAAUAACAGUUGGAAACGACUGCUAAUACCGGAUGAUAUCGAAAGUCCAAAGAUUUAUCGCCCAGGGAUGAGCCCGCGUAGGAUUAGCUAGUUGGUGAGGUAAAGGCUCACCAAGGCGACGAUCCUUAGCUGGUCUGAGAGGAUGAUCAGCCACACGUGGGACUGAGACACGGCCCAGACUCCGUACGGGAGGCAG